Dromaius novaehollandiae (emu) is the source of this 1234-nucleotide long non-coding RNA. The record is from Ensembl. NCBI's taxonomy places the organism in Eukaryota, Metazoa, Chordata, Aves, Casuariiformes, Dromaiidae.
UUAUCAGUCUAAAAUCUCAUUCCAAUAUCAGAAAUUAGAAUAGGUAGCUCCAUGUCUGAAAAAUGACCAGGAACACAUAAUCUUCAUUGUUCUACAGGCCAGGUAAAGAUAUUUAAAAAGACAGGUAAGUCUCCUUGGAAUCAGAGAGCAAUGUUUCUGCUACAUCAGCAAGUAACUUUAUUGCAUUGAUAACUUUGUUAUCUCUAUACAUUCGUAAUUCUGAGCAUGAAGCAACCACUACAGGCACUUAUUGCAACUAUGGAUGAAAUGGACCUGGUUAUCCAUUCUUUAUAGGUACAUUUAUUAUUUAUGGGUUAUGUCACUUUUAGUUAAUAGAGCAGAAUAUUUGAUUUUUAGUUAUUUAUUUAAGUUUGAUUGCAGAAUUUGAGCCACAUCAGGAAACACAACACACAUCUAAGAUGCAUUUCCUAGAAGGAAAAAUAAAAGUUUCCUUAUUUAAGCUCUCAUUAUAUGAAAAACAAAGAGGAAAGAAUCUGUAGCUCAAAGGCAGAGCUGGGCCUAUAAAUUAAUUACUGCUUAACAAAGAUAACUCUGCAAGAAGUUGCUCACAAUUAGGAAUUGGGGAAAAUAUUCCUAAUUCCAUUGGAAAACAUAGUUCUUUGAGCGAGCAUGAGGGGAUCGUACCCAUCAGCCAAAACUGUGAAUUUCUACAACACAGGUUCCUCAAAACGAGAGUAAAAAAAAAARUGGAGGUGAAAACAAAGUGCAGCUGUUGUGUCAGCUAUUAUAACGCUUUUCAUUGCUCUAAAGAAGAGAUUGACAGGAAUUGUUUUAUGCAUCUCUAGGCUUCUUCCUGUUAGUGUUUUUCACUGCUGACCUCAAUUUUGAAAUUCUCACACUCUUUUCCAAACUAAGCCUUCAUUUUUUGAUCUAUUGCUGGAUUCCUCUAUUUUUUCCCCAGGAUGUGGCGAGGAGGAGAGGGUCAGAGUGGAAGGAAGUAAAAAACYGUUAUCGAAUUUAUCAUCUACAUUUAGAAGUUUCUUUCAGAGAGAACAGAAACACUGAGUGCCGCAAACAUGCUUACAAGCCUUUUCAGCAUGUUGAAAGAGCCUGUGAAACAUGCAGUCUCAUGAAAGAUAAUAGUCCUUUAUAACUCAUUGCGUUUCUGCAGGUAAGUAUGACCCUUGGAUGAGGUGUUUAUGUGGUUUCGUUAGCAGCAGCUUCUGUAAGAGAAUUGCCUGGUUUCUUCCUGAGAACAUGUGAAGGAAAAUAA